Molecule: ribosomal RNA, 252 nt
Filed under: uncultured bacterium
Lineage: Bacteria
Description: partial 16S ribosomal RNA
Rfam family: Bacterial small subunit ribosomal RNA
Source: RNAcentral
UACGUAGGUCCCGAGUGUUGUCCGGAUUUAUUGGGCGUAAAGCGAGCGCAGGUGGUUUAUUAAGUCUGGUGUAAAAGGCAGUGGCUCAACCAUUGUAUGCAUUGGAAACUGGUAGACUUGAGUGCAGGAGAGGAGAGUGGAAUUCCAUGUGUAGCGGUGAAAUGCGUAGAUAUAUGGAGGAACACCGGUGGCGAAAGCGGCUCUCUGGCCUGUAACUGACGCUGAGGCUCGAAAGCGUGGGGAGCAAACAGG